UACGUAGGUGGCAAGCGUUGUCCGGAAUUAUUGGGCGUAAAGGGCUCGGAGGCGGUUUGUCGCGUCGGGAGUGAAAACGCCGUGCUUAACACGGCGCUUGCUUUCGAUACGGGCAGACUAGAGGUAUGCAGGGGAGAACGGAAUUCCUGGUGUAGCGGUGAAAUGCGCAGAUAUCAGGAGGAACACCGGUGGCGAAGGCGGUUCUCUGGGCAUUACCUGACGCUGAGGAGCGAAAGUGUGGGGAGCGAACAGG
RNAcentral lists this ribosomal RNA (253 nucleotides) under uncultured bacterium. RNAcentral's name for it is "partial 16S ribosomal RNA". It matches the Rfam family "Bacterial small subunit ribosomal RNA", at positions 524 to 776 of the family's 1533-position model. The record is from RNAcentral.